Molecule: ribosomal RNA, 497 nt
Filed under: uncultured bacterium
Lineage: Bacteria
Description: partial 16S ribosomal RNA
Rfam family: Bacterial small subunit ribosomal RNA
Source: RNAcentral
GAUGAACGCUGGCGGCGUGCCUAAUACAUGCAAGUCGAGCGAACAGACGAGGAGCUUGCUCCUCUGACGUUAGCGGCGGACGGGUGAGUAACACGUGGAUAACCUACCUAUAAGACUGGGAUAACUUCGGGAAACCGGAGCUAAUACCGGAUAAUAUAUUGAACCGCAUGGUUCAAUAGUGAAAGACGGUUUUGCUGUUACUUAUAGAUGGAUCCCCGCCGCAUUAGCUAGUUGGUAAGGUAACGGCUUACCAAGGCAACGAUGCGUAGCCGACCUGAGAGGGGGAUCGGCCACACUGGAAGUGAGACACGGUCCAGACUCCUACGGGAGGCAGCAGUAGGGAAUCUUCCGCAAUGGGCGAAAGCCUGACGGAGCAACGCCGCGUGAGUGAUGAAGGUCUUCGGAUCGUAAAACUCUGUUAUUAGGGAAGAACAAAUGUGUAAGUAACUAUGCACGUCUUGACGGUACCUAAUCAGAAAGCCACGGCUAACUACGUG